GGGGACGUUUUGGAUUAGACAGGAUGUUUUGGUGGUAAUAUGCAGCGGGUCGGAGCGCUGUUCUCCGUCAUCAACGAGCAAAACAAAUUAAGUGCUAACAAUGUAAGAAAAGUAGACUUUGCACAAGCUUAUGCUUUAGCUGCCUAAGUCUAUAUUAGCCACUCACAUAGCCCAGCUUGCCGGUUAUGUGGGUCCAUUAUGCAAGCGGCAGUGUAUUGAUACAAAGUAGAUACAUCAAGAUGACUUUGUAAGGUUUAGAGUUUCCUUUAAAUAAAACCUUGGGCUGAUUUGUAUGGUUUAGCCAUUUUCCUGAAUCAGUUGAGCAAAAAAUGGGCUACACUCGUAGAAGUAUGUUGUCAUCCGUUUUGGACGUGGGUUCGACUCCCACCGUCUCCACCA
This 399-nucleotide transfer-messenger RNA is filed under the name bacterium. It matches the Rfam family "transfer-messenger RNA". Rfam says of the family: Bacterial tmRNA, also known as 10Sa RNA or SsrA, is named for its dual tRNA and mRNA-like properties. Its role is to liberate the mRNA from a stalled ribosome. The record is from RNAcentral.